UCAUGCUUCCCUCACACCACUGACUGGAAAGCUACGCCUGCCAUUUUGUUCUAUCUUCAUUCUUUCUGAGCACAGUGAAGCAUGAGUGAGUAUUUGAAAAGGAACGUGAGGUCUAGAAAAGCACAGAAGCAACAGGACUAUGUGCAAGACUUCGAACGCCUCUUUGACAAGGAUUGCUAUAAAGAAAAAUGUCCAAAACAGGACCCGCCAUCUGAAUGUUUGGAUCUUCUAAGUGCUGAGCUGCUUGAUAUAACAGAAGUAAUGGAUGUCCCAGGGCGACGCAUGACUGAGUACAGGAAAGCAAAGACAGCACGUAGAACAAGACAGAUGGAAGAGGAUUACGCCCUAGAGUAUCAACACCUCUUUG
This is a long non-coding RNA of Ochotona princeps (American pika), 367 nucleotides long. RefSeq lists it as uncharacterized. The record is from RefSeq and is a predicted model, not a curated record. Lineage: Eukaryota; Metazoa; Chordata; Mammalia; Lagomorpha; Ochotonidae. The transcript has 4 exons.